UUAUGAUUUAGUCACAGUCAUUCUAUAAUCUAUAAUUAAUAAGAUACAUGCAACAUCCUGAAACCCGUUAUAAUUAAUAAAUUAAAUAUCACAACUAACGCCCGCAGUAAAAGACCCUGCCCCAUUAGUAAAAGCUAAAAUCGGUAAUCAUUAUAAGCAUAAAUAAAAGAAGUGCCAGCAAUUGCGGUUAAACUCCAUAAUGCAAGAUUAUUUAUUCAUAAAAUUAGAAUCGGUAAAAGAACCACGAAAAAUAUAAUUUCAAGGUAUAAUAUUAUUAUAAUCUAAGAUCUCUCUGUUCUCAUAUCUUCUCUAAAAAACCAUAAACUUAAACAAGGAUUAGAUACCCUUCUAUAUUAUGGCACCCCCACAAUUUAGGAUAGUAAUCUUUAACCAACGAAAUCCAAAUGACAUGGCGGCGAUUCAAUCUCAUCAGAGGGGCCUGCCCUAGAAUUGAUAAUCCGCAUUAAUAUUUUCUUAAUCUUGACUACCAGCCUAUGUAUGGCCGCCGCAAGUCUAACUUGAUAAAGUCAAACUUAAGGUAUACUCACCCCUAUGACAGGUCAUUAUUUAGCCUAUGAUUAAGAUAAAGGUAGGCCACAUAUACAAUAUAUUAUGAAUUGGGCUAUUAAAAAUUCCCCAUAAAAUUGGAUUUGACAGUAAUAUUAAUUUAACACAUAAUUAUGAACUCAGCUAAUCGAAUCGUGCACAAAUCGCCCGGCCCUCUACCCAAAUAAGGGGAGAUAAGCCGUAACAAAGUAGAUGUAAUGGAAAUUGCAUCUAAUAUGAU
This 787-nucleotide non-coding RNA is filed under the name Ramisyllis multicaudata. The record is from RNAcentral. Lineage: Eukaryota; Metazoa; Annelida; Polychaeta; Phyllodocida; Syllidae.